RNAcentral lists this ribosomal RNA (586 nucleotides) under uncultured bacterium. Its description in RNAcentral is "bacterial SSU rRNA". It matches the Rfam family "Bacterial small subunit ribosomal RNA", at positions 337 to 917 of the family's 1533-position model. The record is from RNAcentral.
UCCUACGGGAGGCAGCAGUGGGGAAUAUUGGACAAUGGGGGGAACCCUGAUCCAGCCAUGCCGCGUGUGUGAAGAAGGCCCUCGGGUUGUAAAGCACUUUCAGCGAGGAAGAACGCCUAGCGGUUAAUACCCGCUAGGAAAGACAUCACUCGCAGAAGAAGCACCGGCUAACUCCGUGCCAGCAGCCGCGGUAAUACGGAGGGUGCAAGCGUUAAUCGGAAUUACUGGGCGUAAAGCGCGCGUAGGUGGCUUGAUAAGCCGGUUGUGAAAGCCCCGGGCUCAACCUGGGAACGGCAUCCGGAACUGUCAAGCUAGAGUGCAGGAGAGGAAGGUAGAAUUCCCGGUGUAGCGGUGAAAUGCGUAGAGAUCGGGAGGAAUACCAGUGGCGAAGGCGGCCUUCUGGACUGACACUGACACUGAGGUGCGAAAGCGUGGGUAGCAAACAGGAUUAGAUACCCUGGUAGUCCACGCCGUAAACGAUGUCGACCAGCCGUUGGGUGCCUAGCGCACUUUGUGGCGAAGUUAACGCGAUAAGUCGACCGCCUGGGGAGUACGGCCGCAAGUUAAAACUCAAUGAAUUGACGGA